CCUACGGGAGGCAGCAGUGGGGAAUAUUGCACAAUGGGGGAAACCCUGAUGCAGCCAUGCCGCGUGUGUGAAGAAGGCCUUCGGGUUGUAAAGCACUUUCAGUUGUGAGGAAAGGUUAGUAGUUAGUACCUGCUAGCUGUGACGUUAACAACAGAAGAAGCACCGGCUAACUCCGUGCCAGCAGCCGCGGUAAU
RNAcentral lists this ribosomal RNA (194 nucleotides) under uncultured marine bacterium. RNAcentral describes it as "partial 16S ribosomal RNA". It matches the Rfam family "Bacterial small subunit ribosomal RNA", at positions 338 to 524 of the family's 1533-position model. The record is from RNAcentral.